RNAcentral lists this ribosomal RNA (814 nucleotides) under Acidiphilium sp. RNAcentral describes it as "bacterial SSU rRNA". It matches the Rfam family "Bacterial small subunit ribosomal RNA", at positions 31 to 884 of the family's 1533-position model. Lineage: Bacteria; Pseudomonadati; Pseudomonadota; Alphaproteobacteria; Acetobacterales; Acidocellaceae. The record is from RNAcentral.
CGGCAAUUGCGGCAGCUUACACAUGCAGUCGCACGGUUCGGGGGCAACCUCGGGCAGUGGCGGACGGGUGAGUAACGCGUAGGAAUCUGUCUUUGGAUGGGGGACAACCGUGGGAAACUACGGCUAAUACCGCAUGAUGCCUGAGGGCCAAAGCUCGCGAGAGCGUCUGAAGAGGAGCCUGCGUCUGAUUAGGUAGUUGGUGGGGUAAAGGCCUACCAAGCCUGCGAUCAGUAGCUGGUCUGAGAGGAUGAUCAGCCACAUUGGGACUGAGACACGGCCCAAACUCCUACGGGAGGCAGCAGUGGGGAAUAUUGGACAAUGGGCGCAAGCCUGAUCCAGCAAUGCCGCGUGGGUGAAGAAGGUUUUCGGAUUGUAAAGCCCUUUUGGCGGGGACGAUGAUGACGGUACCCGCAGAAUAAGCUCCGGCUAACUUCGUGCCAGCAGCCGCGGUAAUACGAAGGGGGCUAGCGUUGCUCGGAAUGACUGGGCGUAAAGGGCGCGUAGGCGGCUUGUACAGUCAGGCGUGAAAUUCCUGGGCUCAACCUGGGGACUGCGUCUGAUACGUGCUGGCUUGAGUAUGGAAGAGGGUCGUGGAAUUUCCAGUGUAGAGGUGAAAUUCGUAGAUAUUGGAAAGAACACCGGUGGCGAAGGCGGCGACCUGGUCCAUUACUGACGCUGAGGCGCGAAAGCGUGGGGAGCAAACAGGAUUAGAUACCCUGGUAGUCCACGCUGUAAACGAUGUGUGCUGGAUGUUGGGGUGCUUAGCACUUCAGUGUCGUAGCUAACGCGGUAAGCACACCGCCUGGGGAGUACG